Molecule: small nuclear RNA, 182 nt
Filed under: Zea mays
Lineage: Eukaryota; Viridiplantae; Streptophyta; Magnoliopsida; Poales; Poaceae
Description: U2 spliceosomal RNA
Rfam family: U2 spliceosomal RNA
About the family: U2 is a small nuclear RNA (snRNA) component of the spliceosome (involved in pre-mRNA splicing). Complementary binding between U2 snRNA (in an area lying towards the 5' end but 3' to hairpin I) and the branchpoint sequence (BPS) of the intron results the bulging out of an unpaired adenosine, on the BPS, which initiates a nucleophilic attack at the intronic 5' splice site, thus starting the first of two transesterification reactions that mediate splicing.
Source: Rfam by way of RNAcentral
UUCUUUUAUCGACAUUUUGGCUAAUAUAAAGUGUAAUAUUUGUUCUUAUCAGUUUAACAUAUGAUAUAUGGACUAUAUGUUCACUUUGAUAUUAAAAUUGUUUUUUAAGAAUAAAUUUGAUUGUACUGUCACAAUGCACAGCCGUUGUACUAGUCUAUAUAUAUGUCAGGCGCUAACCAUAC